UGAAUGCUAAACAUAAGCAGCUGUACUCCAGUUCACCUGGGUUUCCAUAAUCGAUUUUAACUUGAAUAAAGUGAUAUUGAUUCAUUAAAUCCUGAAUCAGUUUUUAAAUAUAAAUGUAUUUUGCCAGAAAUGCCAGAAUCUCAGGUUAAAGCUCACAAAACUACACUGCUCAAAAAAAUAAAGGGAACACAAAAAUAAGAGAUCCCAGAUCUGAACGAAUGAAAUAUUCUUAUUAAAUAUGUAGUUACAUCAAGCAUGGAGGUCUGGAUUUGGAGUCACACUCAAAAUGAAAGUGGAAAAACACAGGCCGAUCCAACUUUGAUGCAAUGUUCUUAAAACAAGUCCAAAUGAGGCUCAGCAGUGCCUGUAUGACCUCCCUACAACACCUGGGCAUUGCUCCUGAUGAGGUGGCGGAUGUUCUUCUGAGGGAUCUCCCAGACCUGGACUAAAGCAUCUGCCAACAAUAAAGGACCUUGAACCUUGAACCUUGAACUCCUGGACAGUCUGUGGUGCAACACACCUACAUGAUGUCCCAGAUGUGCUCAACUGGAUGCAGGUCUGGGGAACGAGUGGGCCAGUCCAUAACAUCAAUACCAUCAUCUUGCAGGAACUGCUGACACGCUCCAGCCACAUGAGGUCUAACAUUAGUUGUGUCCCAAGUCAGGGGCCUCAUUCUCCAGAGGCAUUUGAAGGCCGAUCACGUCACAGCCAGGGGAUGAAGGCUGCUCCAAAUGCGGCCCUCAUUUCCCCUAAUUCGAAGCAUGGGUCAGGUGUGUACUUUGUGGCCCAACCUAUCCCAGAAUUCAUAGCGCUGCCUAGCCAGUUCAGUUUCUAACGAUUGCAUCAGCUACAGAGACGGUAGAAAUUGUUAAUGUUAAGAUAUUAAAGUUAAUGGAAGUUUCAUUUUAAAUGUUAAGGUGAUUUAUUUUACAUUCAUUAAACUUACGUGACUGUUUUUAACAUAAGGUUUGGUUUUUAUAUUACUCUUAUUAUUCUUUCUGGGUCACAAAAUAAACGUAACAUAUUUUCUGGCGAGAAUGUAGCUGUGUAAACCUUAAAUAUCUGCUCGGUUUAUCAAGACACCAAAUAUUUUCAAAAGCGCUCCGACGUUUUCUGAGACGUCUGUUACCCACCAGCUCAAUAGCUGACUGGGAGCUCGAGGCUCAGUAAAGCCGGCGAGAGCAGGCAUGAACAGGCAGCGAACUCACGGCACAUCGUUCUUUUAACCCCCUGUGGUCUUUGACUACUCAGGUUAAACAUGAUACAUGAGUCACUUAGAUAACUUAAACAUGUCAUUGUUUGGCUUUUUUCAUUAUUUUAUUUGUUCCUGAGUAAAUCGGUUUGUUAUAGUAACUUAUAGUUUUCACACAGCUGAAUAAACGUCAAACAGACAGCUGAUCAUCAGAAGUGUGAGAUGAUUGAGACUCUACGCCAGUGUCCUGUUAUAUUUUAGAUAGCAAGGAGCAGACGGCGAGUUUAUUAAACUCCAGCGAGACAACGGACACCUUUUCACCACUGUGGGCUGCAGGUACAGCAAUAGUAUGCAGUUUUUACUCUGUUACGUGUAAGGCAGAGUGAUGUUUUUGGUCUUGUGGUCCUAAUUUAGUACAGUUUGCUGUGGAUGCUGUUCAGGGACUAACAUGAGUGAGAUGUUCUCUGAUAUUCUGUCUGUUAGGGCAAUUCUUGUGAAGAUGGGCCUGGCGGGAAAAAUCACCCCUUUGCAGGCCAAAAAAACAAAACAAAGUAUGUACAGUAGUGUUAAAAUAUGUAUUGUUAACUGUAGUCUUUUGAACUUAUUCGUGUAAACCUGUACUGUUGCUGUUUUUGUCCAUUGCCACUUGUGAUUUCCUCUGCUGUUAGGAUUGCAAGUAUCCAGGGUCGGGCGAGGCAGUGAGUGGGAAGCCCACAGCUGCUAAAUGGUGCUGGUUUGUCCUUAUGGAUGAGGUGUUAGGACAGAGCCUUCUACCAGGGCUCCAGUCCUAAUUGUCUCCAUCCAGGAGGACACUCCAGGCCCAGUUCAGCAGUGGGCCAGCUGGAGCCAAGAGUGGACAAAAGAAAGACAGGAAGGAUGAAUUUCUUGGAAUUAAUAAGAGAGGGCAUGAGACUACAAAUGGAAACGGAGCAAAGAAGAGCCGGAGAAUGGACAGGCUUCUUCACAGUCAUGUCUCCCGGGGCCAGCUGGCUGAUACUUUGCCACUUUGCUCUCUGACACUUCUGCUCCAUAGAUUGCAGCUUGUCCAAAAUGCUGCGGCACACCUUUUGACUGCAACCGGCAGGUUUGCCUCUUUCACUCCUGUCCUUGCUGAUUUGCACUUCCUCCCUAUCAAAUACCAAGUUUAAUGAAAGUAUUGCUGCUCACCUUUAAAAUCAUAAACCAUACAGUGUCUAGCUAUCUCGUUGAGCUCCUUAGACCAUACACCCCUGGGAGAGCCCUCACAUCAUCAGCCCAAUUACUCUUGGUACAGCCUAGAUCUCGGCCUAAGACCAGAGGUGAGCGUACAUUUGCCCUGGUUGCACCUAAUUUGUGGAACAACCUGCCCAUUCCUAUCCCUAUUCUAUGUCACCGUCUGGUAUGGUAACUGCACCGUAUUGGAUUGCAAUACCCCACAACGGAUAGUGAGAGGAGCUGUGAAGAUCACUGGAGCCUCUCUUCCCUCCAUCACGGACACUUAUAGCAACUGCUCCACCCGCAAAGCCACCAGCAUCAUGGAGGACCCCACACACCCCUCACACACACCCUUCAUCCUACUGCUUUCUGGAAAGAGGUACUGGAGCAUCUGGGCCCUCACGACCAGACUACCGUUCAGUUUCUGAGAUCGAUCGUAGCUCAAGAGUUGGGAGUUCGCUUUGUAAUCGGAAGGUUGCCGGUUCGAGCCCCGGCUGUAUCACUAAUUACAGGAAUGUAAAGAGCAUUUUAGGGACUUGCUUCGUCCUGAAGACACAGGUUGUUCCUGAUAACUGAAUGAAAUCUCACCUGUGAUGGAGCUUUGUGUGUGUUUGCUGAGUGUGUGUGAGAGCUGCUGCUUGCAAUAAACUGAAAGUGUUUGAGGAACAAAGAGAAAAAGAGAAAAUCAGCUGAUGAUCCAGUAAAGACUCUCUGAGCAAAGUGACUGAAUUAAGCAGAUUUUAUUGAGCAUUGACAGAAAAGUGCAUCGAGCAGGAGACGAUUCAUGUGGAAGACCCGAAUACAGAGAAUCUGAACAGAUCAAGUCCAACAUGAAAGGAUCCAAAUGUUUCCACUUGGCCUGAGCCAUCACAAAUAUCCAGCAUGAACACAUGAAGAAUCAAUCGAGGCAUCGAUCAGCUGGAAGAAGAUCAGAUUUCAGGACUGGGCUCAGAAACACUGAAGAGUCAAAGUUGGAUUAUUUCCACACUGUGUCUGAGUUCAGUGUCUCCAACAUCCUCUGCACUCACUGAGAGACAACAACAUGUUGGACUGUGUCUGGAUCGUGUCAGUGACACGUUACUGUCCCACAACCAGUUUACUGAGUCAGCAUGAGAGGAGCAGCAGGAUGAAGCUCACACUGACAACCUUAGAACAACAUUAGAACAACGUGACAGACACACAUGGAUUUGUGGAGAACACAGAGUUUAGUUUGUGACGUCAGAGGAGCAGGGAGCUGUUCUCACACACUGUUGUACUGAUCGUUAAACAGCAGGGGGCGCCCUCACUGCAUUUACAGCACAGCUGGCAGCUCUGCUCUGCAUAAUAACCGACUGUGGAGUUUAUGUAGUAACACUUUUCAUGUGC
Molecule: long non-coding RNA, 3751 nt
Organism: Astatotilapia calliptera (eastern happy)
Lineage: Eukaryota; Metazoa; Chordata; Actinopteri; Cichliformes; Cichlidae
Source: Ensembl